This 1120-nucleotide long non-coding RNA is filed under the name Daucus carota (carrot). RNAcentral's name for it is "long non-coding RNA (DCAR_LNC005526)". The record is from RNAcentral. Lineage: Eukaryota; Viridiplantae; Streptophyta; Magnoliopsida; Apiales; Apiaceae.
CACAGCCACACUCCAAAAUUCAAUAUAAAUCGUAGGAUUAUUAUUUUGACAUGAAACCACCUCUGAGAUCUUCUAUACUCAGUACAUUAUCAUCCCUCAAAAUUUCAAUUCGAACUAAGGUGUUUAGCUAGGUGAAACAUUGCUCCAAAGUUCAGUGUUCAGUAAAUUCGUAGGUUAUUAACAACCCAUACUAAAACUGCCAUAACUCCUAGCUCGUUACUCCGAUUGAUGCAAAAUCAGCGCCCAAAUAAACUAGGAAUCAUACACUACUACUUUAGUUCAGUAGUCGAUCACCAAAUCAGAAUAAAACUGCUCCGAAAACAGGAUAGGAACUUAUAAUCACUGAAUUUAAAAGUUUAUACCUUCUGUUGUUGAUGUUGCAACCUCAACCCACCACACUUUCUUUCCUGUACACCUCCUGCCAUCCUUCCUUUUAUACUCUAAAACCCCAGCUGCCCUGUUUCUCGAAUACUCAAGGCUGAGCCCUCAAAAUAUCACCAUAGCCGUCCAACUGUCCCCCAACAUCUAUGUUUUCAUCCCCAAGUUCCUAAGCUAUACACACGCAACUCUCAUUGACUAACUAAUCAAUUCAGUCAUCACUUCACUCCUCCCAGCCUUGCUAUCACAACUCUGUUGUGACACCAACCGAACCACCUGCUGCAGCACACGGCCACAACCAGGCCACCACCUCGUCUGGCCAUAACCGAGACGCCUGGACCGCAGCCCACCGCCGCGUCAACCACAGGGCAUCUCCUGUAAUCAUUCUUGUCCAGCAACCCAAUAAAUCAGCCCCGUGUCAUAAACACCUACCAUGAAAUCAAUUUACAACCACGAAAUAACACCCACCUAAACACACCUACUGAUCACCACCCCUCAACCUCUGUCUCUCCUCUAGCCAGCCCUGUUCAAACCAACACAAUCGCCUCCAUCCUUCUUCCUCCCUCCCCACACGACGCCGCCGAUUUCUCCCGUGUCCACCGCCGACUCGCGGCCUCCGUUCAUACACCACCCACCAUCCACACCGAUCCAAUUGAUUUCCCCAAAUUCAGAAACCCUAAUCCCUCUUUAUUUCGCUUGAUCGAAGUCACCGCCUCUGUUUAUCUGUUCGUGUUUAUCUAUA